CUGCCCUAUGAAUAGUUUAAAUGGCCGCAGUAUUUUGACUGUGCAAAGGUAGCAUAAUCACUUGUCUCUUAAUUGGGGGCUGGAAUGAAGGAGGCGACGAAAACUAAACUAUUAGUUUAUAAUAUAAAAUUAACAUAAAGGUUAAAAGGCAUUUAUUAAUCAAAGGGACGAUAAGACCCUAUAAAACUUUACUUUAAAAUAAAAUAUCUUAAUAAAUUUUUAAAAUUUUAUAGUUUAACUGGGGCGGUUGAGAUAAAAACAAUUGUAAUAAAAAUAUAUUAAAUAGAGUUUUAGAACUUCUAAGGAAAAUGAAUAAGUUACUUUAGGGAUAACAGCAUAAUCCUCUCAGAGAGUCCUAAUUGGCGGGAGAGCUUAUGACCUCGAUGUUGAAUUGGGGUGUCUAGUUUAAGUAGAAAUAUACUAAGAUAGUCUGUUCGACUAUUUAACCCCC
Molecule: ribosomal RNA, 451 nt
Filed under: Proasellus navarrensis
Lineage: Eukaryota; Metazoa; Arthropoda; Malacostraca; Isopoda; Asellidae
Description: partial 16S ribosomal RNA
Rfam family: Bacterial large subunit ribosomal RNA
Source: RNAcentral